GUCCAGACUCCUACGGGAGGCAGCCGUGGGGAAUAUUGCACAAUGGGGGGACCCCUGAUGCAGCGCCUCCUCGUGAGUGCAGCAGUAUUUCGGUCUGUCCAGCUCUGUCAUCCUGGAAGAAGCCCGCCGGUACCUUCCCACUAAGCCCCUUCUCCCUACGUGCCCGCCUCCGCGGGACUCCUUCGGGUGCACGCUUUACUCGGAAUCACUGGGCGGAAAGAGCGCGUAGGCGGGAGAGCAAGUCAGAUGUGAAAUCCGAGGGAGUAACCAUAGAACUGCAUUUGAAACUGUUAUUCUAGAGUAUGGGAGAGGUAGGUGGAAUUCUUGGUGUAGGGGUAAAAUCCGUAGAGAGCAAGAGGAAUACUCAUUGCGAAGGCGACCUGCUAGAACAUAACUGACGCUGAUGCGCGAAAGCGUGGGGAGCAAACAGGAUUAGAUACCCGUGUA
Molecule: ribosomal RNA, 447 nt
Filed under: uncultured bacterium
Lineage: Bacteria
Description: bacterial SSU rRNA
Rfam family: Bacterial small subunit ribosomal RNA
Source: RNAcentral